Molecule: ribosomal RNA, 471 nt
Filed under: uncultured bacterium
Lineage: Bacteria
Description: bacterial SSU rRNA
Rfam family: Bacterial small subunit ribosomal RNA
Source: RNAcentral
GACGAACGCUGGCGGCGUGCCUAAUGCAUGCAAGUCGAGCGGGCUACAGUCUUCGGAUUGUAGCUUAGCGGCGAACGGGUGAGUAACACGUAGGUAAUCUACCCUUCAGAGGAGGACAACCUCAGGAAACUGAGGCUAAACCUUCAUACGUUCACUGGUAGGGAUACUGGUGAAGAAAGAGUUACCUUAGUGGUAGCUGCUGAAGGAUGAGCCUGCGGCCCAUCAGGUAGUUGGUGAGGUAACGGCUCACCAAGCCGAAGACGGGUAACCGGUCUGAGAGGAUGUCCGGUCACACUGGGACUGAGACACGGCCCAGACUCCUACGGGAGGCAGCAGCAGGGAAUCUUGGGCAAUGGGCGAAAGCCUGACCCAGCGACGCCGCGUGGAGGACGAAGCCCUUCGGGGUGUAAACUCCUUUUCUCAGGGAAAAGGAUGAUGGUACCUGAGGAAUAAGCCCCGGCUAACUACGUG